RNAcentral lists this long non-coding RNA (210 nucleotides) under Mytilus galloprovincialis (Mediterranean mussel). Lineage: Eukaryota; Metazoa; Mollusca; Bivalvia; Mytilida; Mytilidae. The record is from RNAcentral.
ACAACACUUUAUAUAUCUAUCAUCACACUUUAUAUAUCUAUCACCACACUUUAUAUAUCUUUCACCUCACUAUAUACAUUUAUCACCUAACUGGUCUUAUGUCACCACACCCCAUAUAUCUACCACCUCACCUUAUUUAUCUAUCACAUCACACUUUUACCUAUCAUCUCUUUUUAUAUUUAUAUCAACAUAAUGAAUAUAUCUAUCACC